CAAGUUUUCAUCUUCUGGUGUUUUCUCUCCUAUGAUAGAGCUUUUCUUUUCCCUUAUAUCUGCUUGCUGGUCAGCUAGGCCUGGUCCUAUUUGUCGUAGCCAAAUCCACUGUCAAAGGCUUUCCUACUGCAGUUGCCAUGGAGAAAACAGCUUCUCUUGCAAAAAAAUUUGGAGGUAAUAUGCUGGAGUGGAUAGCAUCUUCACAUAGUCUUCAAAGAGAGACAAUCUAAUCAGAAUGUAUCUUUCAUCAAUAAGGCCAAUGGUGGCAUUCCCUUUGAUUGCACAUUGUACUGGAAUUACUUCUCUUAGUUUCUUUAUGUCUAUGAUAUCAUAAGAGAAUUUGCCCAAGAUUGCAUAUUGUAAAUCUUCUUUGAUUAUCAUCUGGUGUAUUUCCUUAGAAUUCCAAGUUAUGUAGGGUUCACCAUCUACAAAAAUAACAGUCUUGGAUGGGAUAUCAAUCUGUUGUGUAUUCUGUACUGCUGUUGGAGGCUUCAAAAGAUUUGCAUAAUUCUGUUCUUUAUCUUUUCCGUUGGGCAUAUCUAAAGGGACGUUUAGGGGUUGUGCACUACUGGUUGGUUGGGUUGUUCAUUUUGAAAGAACUGAUGC
This is a long non-coding RNA of Lycium barbarum (goji berry), 606 nucleotides long. RefSeq lists it as uncharacterized. The transcript has 3 exons. Lineage: Eukaryota; Viridiplantae; Streptophyta; Magnoliopsida; Solanales; Solanaceae. The record is from RefSeq and is a predicted model, not a curated record.